UGUAGGGUUAGAGCAAAGAGGAGAGAAAAGCGAAAUUGGUGAAAUCAAACAAUUGAGUAACAAAUCUAAAAAUGGUGAAAUUUCAAACAACGAUGUUAGAUAAUCCGAAAAAUUAUGGCUCGAAUGGCUCGAAAUAUCUAAAACAAUGUCGUUUUGACACAUUCGAACCAUUCGAGUCACAAAAAUUCGGACAACCAAACAUUUUUCAAUUUCAAAUUGAGCGAACAAUUGAUGAAAUUGAGCAAAGAUUCCUACAAAUCUGAAAUUGGUGAAAUUUUUUCGCGGAACAAAGAGGAGGGAAAAAUGAAGCAAGGGUUUAUCAUUUUUCAUCUUUCGCGCCAUCUUUAUCCACCAUCUACAUCACAAAUUUACCGUCUUUUCAUCUUCCUGUUCUAUUUCUCACUCUCACACACACAUGCAAACACACACAAUACCUCUCUCUUUUCUCUUAUUUAUGAUCUUGUUUUAGAUUGAUGGAAUUGGAGUUUUUGAAUAUCUUGUAUUCAUUUGAUCAAUUGAACAAGUGGAGAACGGUUGGAAGAAGAUUCAAGUGGAGACUGAUUGCCAAAAAGCUGUAGAGCUGCUGCUCAAAGGUGCACUUGGAGAGUUCCCAUUAAGAGCUCUAAUUGAAGAUUCUAGAUUCAUGUUGCAAAGAACUGGCUCAUGGGUAAAACACAUUAAUAGUGAGGCCAACCAAUGUGCUGAUGCUUUAGCAAAAAUAGGUGUAGACUAAGUGGAAAAUUUUGUGGUCACUGAGGACCCUCUUGCCUAGAUGAGGUAUUUGCUAAUAGCUGAUAUGCUAGGUGUUGGGUAUGAGAGGGUUUAGCCGUCUUUCUGUUUUUUGUACCUGAAAAAAAAAACAAAUAGUAGAAUUGUGUAAUAGCAGAGCUAGUGCAGAAAAACUUUGACUUGUGUAAUAGUUUAGUUGAGUUAAUUCCCAUGAAAAGUAUGCUUACCUUCCUUCA
This is a non-coding RNA of Camellia sinensis, 965 nucleotides long. The record is from RefSeq and is a predicted model, not a curated record. NCBI's taxonomy places the organism in Eukaryota, Viridiplantae, Streptophyta, Magnoliopsida, Ericales, Theaceae.